GCGGAGGGCCGGAUGGCCGCGGGGGGUGCAAACCUCACGAGGAAAGUCCGGACUCCACAGGGCAACGGUGCCGGGUAACGCCCGGGCGGGGCAACCCGACGGAUAGCGCAACAGAAAGCAAACCGCCUGCGCUGGUCGUAGGUAAGGGUGAAAGGGUGGGGUAAGAGCCCACCGGGGGCCUGGUAACAGGUCUUGCAUGGCAAGCCCCACCAGGAGCAAUGCCAAAUAGGAACCUCAGGUGGGUUGAUCGUCUUUUCGAUAUCACCACCGGGCAUCUUUGGCCUGUAGGGUUCGGGUUGGCAGCUAGAGGCGCAGGGGCAACCUUGGGCUAAGAGGAAUGAUCAUCCAAGAGGGCAACCUCUGGACAGAAUCCGGCUUAUAGGUUCUCCGCGCGU
This 395-nucleotide RNase P RNA is filed under the name Paracoccaceae bacterium. RNAcentral's name for it is "Rhodobacteraceae bacterium (marine metagenome) RNase P RNA component class A". It matches the Rfam family "Bacterial RNase P class A". From Rfam's summary of the family: Ribonuclease P (RNase P) is a ubiquitous endoribonuclease, found in archaea, bacteria and eukarya as well as chloroplasts and mitochondria. The record is from RNAcentral. Lineage: Bacteria; Pseudomonadati; Pseudomonadota; Alphaproteobacteria; Rhodobacterales; Paracoccaceae.